AUGUCCUCCCUCCUUCCCUACAUCCCUCUCUUCCCUCUCUGUCCUCCCUCCUUCCCUACAUCCCUCCUUCCCUACAUCCUUCUCUUCCCUCUCUGUCCUCCCUCCUUCCCUACAUCCCUCUCUUCCCUCUCUGUCCUCCCUCCUUCCCUACAUCCCUCCUUCCCUACAUCCUUCUCUUCCCUCUCUGUCCUCCCUCCUUCCCUACAUCCCUCUCUUCCUUUUGAACCCGCUGGCAUGGUCACCCCUGUAAUGAGCUAUCCAAAUAUGCUGUGUCCUUACUGUGUCUCCUGCUGUCUUGACUACUGUGUCUCCUGCUGUCUUGACUACUGUGUCUCCUGCUGUCUUGACUACUGUGUCUCCUGCUGUCUUGACCACUGUGUCUCCUACUGUGUCUCCUGCUGUCUUGACUACUGUGUCUCCUACUGUGUCUCCUGCUGUCUUGACUACUGUGUCUCCUACUGUGUCUCCUGCUGUCUUGACUACUGUGUUGACUACUGUGUUGACUACUGUGUCUCCUGCUGUCUUGACUACUGUGUUGACUACUGUGUCUCCUGCCGUGUUGACUACUGUGUCUCCUGCUAUCUUGACGACUGUGUCUCCUACUGUGUCUCCUGCUGUGUUGACUACUGUGUUGACUACUGUGUCUCUUGCUGUGUUGACUACUGUGUCUCCUGCUGUGUCUCCUGCUGUGUUGACUACUGUGUCUCCUGCUGUGUCUCCUGCUGUGUUGACUACUGUGUCUCCUGCUGUGUCUCCUACUGUGUCUCCUACUGUGUCUCCCGCUGUGUCUCCUACUGUGUCUCCUGCUGUCUUGACUACUGUGUCUCCUACUCUGUCUCCUACUGUGUCUCCUGCUGUGUCUCCUACUGUGUCUCCUGCUGUCUUGACUACUGUGUCUCCUGCUGUUUCUCCUGCAGUCUUGACUACUGUGUCCCCUACUGUGUUGACAAAAAGUCUAACCAAAUCAAAUGUCAUUGGUCACAUACACAUAUUUAUCAGAUGUUAUUGUGGGUGUGGUGA
This 1020-nucleotide long non-coding RNA is filed under the name Oncorhynchus mykiss (rainbow trout). Its description in RNAcentral is "lncRNA (ENSOMYG00000061352.1)". The record is from RNAcentral. Lineage: Eukaryota; Metazoa; Chordata; Actinopteri; Salmoniformes; Salmonidae.